CAUCUUGAUGAGUUAGUGACCUCACAACAUAACCAAUAGCACAAACAUUAAUCUCUAAUCCAGCAUAUCUGAUAUCAACUCCAGCUCUGAAUAUAGUGAAGUCACAUUAUAUUCGCUAGAUUCAGAGUUCGAGUUGGUAUCAAAUACUUAUAGGAAGAUCUUGUCUCUCGGAUUGCGAAAGGGAGCCCCUGUUUUGUCAACAAAUAGAAACCUAAGGUG
Molecule: microRNA precursor, 219 nt
Filed under: Physcomitrium patens
Lineage: Eukaryota; Viridiplantae; Streptophyta; Bryopsida; Funariales; Funariaceae
Description: Physcomitrella patens miR11317 stem-loop (ppt-MIR11317)
Source: miRBase by way of RNAcentral